RNAcentral lists this ribosomal RNA (270 nucleotides) under uncultured Pseudomonas sp. RNAcentral describes it as "partial 16S ribosomal RNA". It matches the Rfam family "Bacterial small subunit ribosomal RNA", at positions 1111 to 1382 of the family's 1533-position model. The record is from RNAcentral. Lineage: Bacteria; Pseudomonadati; Pseudomonadota; Gammaproteobacteria; Pseudomonadales; Pseudomonadaceae.
UUAGUUACCAGCACGUUAUGUGGGCACUCUAAGGAGACUGCCGGUGACAACCGGAGGAAGGUGGGGAUGACGUCAAGUCAUCAUGGCCCUUACGGCCUGGGCUACACACGUGCUACAAUGGUCGGUACAAAGGGUUGCCAAGCCGCGAGGUGGAGCUAAUCCCAUAAAACCGAUCGUAGUCCGGAUCGCAGUCUGCAACUCGACUGCGUGAAGUCGGAAUCGCUAGUAAUCGUGAAUCAGAAUGUCACGGUGAAUACGUUCCCGGGCCUU